RNAcentral lists this small RNA (1599 nucleotides) under Rattus norvegicus (Norway rat). RNAcentral describes it as "uncharacterized LOC102552728". The record is from RNAcentral. Lineage: Eukaryota; Metazoa; Chordata; Mammalia; Rodentia; Muridae.
UUUUUUUUUUUUUUUUUUGCAGAUUAGGUUCCUCAGUAUCCGAGUAAAUAAGAGAAAGGCAAUUUACUAAAUAAAAAAAAUAGCUAAAAUAUGAAUACAUCUUGUAAAAAAUAAUGCUACUGGUUUGUUUGUUUUCCGGGCUGAGAGCAGAUGUUGGUAUUAGUUUUGGUUUGUUGGGGGUAGGGUGUAUUUUUAACUUAAAGAAAUGUGUUGUAUCAAUUGAUCCAGCCCACUUUGAGAACACCUCACCUACAGGGACUAUAUCCUAGAAUAGGCAUAAGAACAGAAAAGGCACUCACAGAACUAUAGUAGUUAACACAACCUGUCCUGGUGGGACCGCACUUAUCACAGAGUUCCAGAGGCGUGUACCUGGAGUUCAAGGCCGACCUGGGGGUGAAUAGCAAAUCCCAGGUCCUGAAGACCUACACCGUGAGAAACGAUAAAUUAAGUUACCGUACACUGGAAAACCUCAAAGGGGGUUAAUAUGACUUCUGGCUGUCUGUUCUCCAGCUGGAGCUCUUAGAAGCUGGUGGAGAAGUUUGAUGAGUUCCCUGCUUGAUGUUUAAGUCCCGGCCCCUUUUUGUGGAUCUGCAUGUAAGACGGUCUUUUUUAAAGAAGCAGGCUAUCUAAUCACGGAGAGAAAACCAAAAGCUCCUAGACUGCACCUUACUGCGGCAGGUAAUGGCGGCACAUUAUGAAGUAAGCCCUUGCUAGGUCCCUAGGAGGAACCCAGCGGAAUCACCUGUAAGUCAACACCAGAGGGCUUCAUCAAUCUAGUUGGCCACGAACAGCCAUCUUGUGAACCGAUGUGGCAGCUCGGGAGACCAGAGAUGCUGUAAGGAUGAGCUGGAAAUUUGUGUGACUCCCUGAGAGAAGAGUGCCUGGACAUGACCCCCGACCCCCUUGGCUGCUCUGCCUUCCUGCUUCGGCCUCACUUGCCUUCUUGAGCUCCCGUGGUCCAGCUGACUCCCAGACCACUGCCUGGCUGGUUCACAGGGCCACUAUGGCUUCUCCCAGUCAUCAUUGGAUGGUCCUUAGCAAAUGAGACCAAGUCUUCCUGAUACAUUGUAUCCUGCUGGGAGAUUGGCAGAAUCAAAGAUAUGAUUUGGAACCUCUGAACGUUACAGAAUUUCUUGAGAUUAGUAGGUGCCUCAGAACACACCCAGCCUUUCUUCUCUCCGUGGGACGGUUCAGGGUAUACCGUCAAGAUAGAUGCAUGAGAACGGUUCGCAAUCAAAUUCCUACCUGGUUCCCGCUGCAACAGCCACCUCUGUCCUUCGGAGCGUGUUGCUACCAGACUUGUUUAUCUACCAGACUCCUUUCAGUACAGAUGAGAGCUCCACUUCUAUCUGUAGUUAUCGUCCUUUCCCUGUGAAUGUCCCCCUGAACGACUGUUCUAAUUCUUAGUAGAGAAACUCGCUCGUCCUACAUAUGAACUACAGCUGCAAACAUUUUCAAAAGAGGUGAAGUCAUGCAGUUUUAUAAGACAUAGUCAAGUGUCAACACUUUGCUAGGACUCUUGGUAACCAAGGGUGACUCAGGAUUGACAUUCCGUUGUGCUAGAGGGGAACUGAGACCCUAAAACCUGUUGUCCCCCCC